AGAGAGAGACAUGCGCGCAUAUCAAUAAGCGGAGGAAAAGAAACUAACAAGGAUUCCCUUAGUAACGGCGAGUGAAGCGGGAAGAGCUCAAAUUUGAAAUCUUCAAGGUUUUACCUUGACGAAUUGUAGUUUAAAGAAGUGUUUUCUGCUGAAGUUUUGGUAAAAGUUCUUUGGAAUAGGACAUCAUAGAGGGUGAGAAUCCCGUAUUUGACCAUUAUUUUCAGCUUUGUGAUACACUUUCAAAGAGUCGGAUUGUUUGGGAAUGCAGUCCAAAAUGGGUGGUAAAUUUCAUCUAAAGCUAAAUAUUGGCGAGAGACCGAUAGCGAACAAGUACCGUGAGGGAAGAUGAAAAGAACUUUGAAAAGAGAGUUAAACAGUACGUGAAAUUGUCAAAAGGGAAGCGUUUGACACCAGUGUUGUUUUCUCGAAAAUCAAUUAAAAAUGGCUCGAUUUUGUAUUGCUUGAGACCUUAAAAGCUCACUGUACAUUUUUCGUGUCUUUUUUAAUGCACUUUUCGUUUAACAAGUCGACAUCAGUUUCUUUUGUUGUAAAAGGGUCAUUGGAAGGUGGCUUUCUUUUCGGAGAAAGUGUUUAUAGCCUUUGACCUCUGCAAUCGGAGAGAUUGAGGUCUGCAGCGUAGACUCUUCGGGGUUAGAUACAUUUGUGCUAAGUUAUAGCUUUUUAUAGACAACUUGUUGACUAUAAUUAGUCUUGUAGCUUACUCGCUUAUGCUAUUUUACCUACGCUUAGGAUGUUGAGUCGUAGAGCACGCAG
RNAcentral lists this ribosomal RNA (774 nucleotides) under uncultured Neocallimastigales. RNAcentral's name for it is "partial large subunit ribosomal RNA". It matches the Rfam family "Eukaryotic large subunit ribosomal RNA", at positions 23 to 626 of the family's 3401-position model. Lineage: Eukaryota; Fungi; Neocallimastigomycota; Neocallimastigomycetes; Neocallimastigales. The record is from RNAcentral.